This 375-nucleotide ribosomal RNA is filed under the name uncultured organism. RNAcentral's name for it is "partial 16S ribosomal RNA". It matches the Rfam family "Bacterial small subunit ribosomal RNA", at positions 527 to 896 of the family's 1533-position model. The record is from RNAcentral.
GUAGGUGGCAAGCGUUAUCCGGGAAUUAUUGGGGCGUAAAGCGCGCGCAGGCGGUUCUUUAAGUCUGAUGUGAAAGCCCACGGGCUCAACCGUGGAGGGUCAUUGGAGACUGGAGAACUUGAGUACAGAAGAGGAAAGCGGAAUUCCACGUGUAGCGGUGAAAUGCGUAGAGAUGUGGAGGAACACCAGUGGCGAAGGCGGCUUUCUGGUCUGUAACUGACGCUGAGGCGCGAAAGCGUGGGGAGCAAACAGGAUUAGAUACCCUGGUAGUCCACGCCGUAAACGAUGAGUGCUAAGUGUUAGGGGGUUUCCGCCCCUUAGUGCUGCAGCUAACGCAUUAAGCACUCCGCCUGGGGAGUACGGCCGCAAAGGCUG